RNAcentral lists this ribosomal RNA (253 nucleotides) under uncultured bacterium. Its description in RNAcentral is "partial 16S ribosomal RNA". It matches the Rfam family "Bacterial small subunit ribosomal RNA", at positions 524 to 776 of the family's 1533-position model. The record is from RNAcentral.
UACGGAGGGUGCGAGCGUUAUCCGGAUUUAUUGGGUUUAAAGGGUUCGUAGGCGGCUUAAUAAGUCAGUGGUGAAAUCUCAUAGCUUAACUAUGAAACUGCCAUUGAUACUGUUAAGCUUGAAUAUGUUUGAAGUAGCUAGAAUGUGUAGUGUAGCGGUUAAAUGCAUAGAUAUUACGCGGAAUACCAAUUGCGAAGGCAGGUUACUAAGACAUUAUUGACGCUGAUGGACGAAAGCGUGGGGAGCGAACAGG